Molecule: ribosomal RNA, 405 nt
Filed under: uncultured bacterium
Lineage: Bacteria
Description: partial 16S ribosomal RNA
Rfam family: Bacterial small subunit ribosomal RNA
Source: RNAcentral
GACGAACGCUGGCGGCGCGCUUAACACAUGCAAGUCGAGCGAAGCGGCGGACGGGUGAGUAACACGUGAGUAACCUGCCUUAGACACUGGGAUAGCCUCGGGAAACCGGGAUUAAUACCAAAUGGUCUAAGAUGGAUUCGCGUCACAUUAGCUAGUUGGUGGGUAACGGCGCACCAAGGCGACGAUGGGUAGCCGGCUUGGAAGGGUGACCCGGCACAAUGGAACAGGGGAACGGUCCAAACUCUACGGGGGGCAUCAGUGGGGAAUAUUGCACAAUAGGGAGAGCGAAGAUGCAGCGACGCCGCGUGAGCGAAGAUGGCUUUCAAGUCGUAAAGUUCUUUUAUAUGGGAAGCGGUACCAAAAAAAAAAGCCCCGGCUAACUACGUGCCAGCAGCCGCGUAAUUC